This 498-nucleotide ribosomal RNA is filed under the name uncultured bacterium. Its description in RNAcentral is "partial 16S ribosomal RNA". It matches the Rfam family "Bacterial small subunit ribosomal RNA", at positions 28 to 507 of the family's 1533-position model. The record is from RNAcentral.
GACGAACGCUGGCGGCAUGCCUAACACAUGCAAGUCGAACGGAGAUUACUUCGGUAAUCUUAGUGGCGGACGGGUGAGUAACGCGUGGGCAACCUGCCCUCUAGAUGGGGACACCAUCCCGAAAGGGGUGCUAAUACCGAAUGUGACAGCAAUCUCGCAUGAGGAUGCUGUGAAAGAUGGCCUCUAUUUAUAUGCUAUCGCUAGAGGAUGGGCCUGCGUCUGAUUAGCUAGUUGGUGGGGUAACGGCCUACCAAGGCGAUGAUCAGUAGCCGGUAUGAGAGGAUGAGCGGCCAGACUGGGACUGAGACACGGCCCAGACUGCUACGGGAGGCGGCAGUGGUGAAACUUGCGCAAUGGGCGGAAGACUGACGGAGAAAUGCCGAGGGAGGGAUGAAGGAAGUCGUUCCGGAAAGCACUGUUGUUUAGGACGAAUGUGCAGAUUGUAAAUAAUAAUCGGUAAUGACGGUAGUAAGCGAAGAAGCCACGGCUAACUACGUG